RNAcentral lists this ribosomal RNA (1004 nucleotides) under Plasmodium knowlesi. RNAcentral describes it as "SSU rRNA". It matches the Rfam family "Eukaryotic small subunit ribosomal RNA", at positions 162 to 1076 of the family's 1831-position model. Lineage: Eukaryota; Apicomplexa; Aconoidasida; Haemosporida; Plasmodiidae. The record is from RNAcentral.
AGCUAAUACUUGCUUUAGCACUCUUGAUUUAUUUCUUGAGUGUGUACUUGUUAAGCCUUAUAAGAAAAGAGUUAUUAACUUAAGGAAUUAUAACAAAGAAGUAACACGUAAUGGAUUCUUCCAUUUUUUAGUGUGUAUCAAUCGAGUUUCUGACCUAUCAGCUUUUGAUGUUAGGGUAUUGGCCUAACAUGGCUAUGACGGGUAACGGGGAAUUAGAGUUCGAUUCCGGAGAGGGAGCCUGAGAAAUAGCUACCACAUCUAAGGAAGGCAGCAGGCGCGUAAAUUACCCAAUUCUAAAGAAGAGAGGUAGUGACAAGAAAUAACAAUACAAGGCCAAUCUGGCUUUGUAAUUGGAAUGAUGGGAAUUUAAAACCCUCCCAAAAUUCAAUUGGAGGGCAAGUCUGGUGCCAGCAGCCGCGGUAAUUCCAGCUCCAAUAGCGUAUAUUAAAAUUGUUGCAGUUAAAACGCUCGUAGUUGAAUUUCAAAGAAUCGAUAUUUUAAGUAACGCUUCUAGCUAUAAAUCCACAUAACUGAUGCCUCCGCGUAUCGACUUUGUGCGCAUUUUAGCUAUUAUGUGUUCUUUUAAUUAAAAUGAUUCUUUUUAAGAUUCAUCUAUUAAAAAUUUGCUUCGGCAUAAUUUUUUUUGAUGAUCUUGUUACUUUGAGUAAAUUAGAGUGUUCAAAGCAAACAGAUAUAGCAUUUGUGCGUUUGAAUACUACAGCAUGGAAUAACAAAAUUGAACAAGUCAGAAUUUUUUUGUUCUUUUUUCUUAUUUUGGCUUAGUUACGAUUAAUAGGAGUAGCUUGGGGGCAUUUGUAUUCAGAUGUCAGAGGUGAAAUUCUUAGAUUUUCUGGAGACAAACAACUGCGAAAGCAUUUGCCUAAAAUACUUCCAUUAAUCAAGAACGAAAGUUAAGGGAGUGAAGACGAUCAGAUACCGUCGUAAUCUUAACCAUAAACUAUGCCGACUAGGCUUUGGGUGAAAGAUUUUAAAAUAAGAGUUUU